Molecule: transfer RNA, 24 nt
Filed under: Coptotermes acinaciformis acinaciformis
Lineage: Eukaryota; Metazoa; Arthropoda; Insecta; Blattodea; Rhinotermitidae
Description: partial tRNA-Tyr
Source: RNAcentral
UAAUGUAUCUCAGCCACCCCACUA